Molecule: ribosomal RNA, 117 nt
Filed under: Danio rerio (zebrafish)
Lineage: Eukaryota; Metazoa; Chordata; Actinopteri; Cypriniformes; Danionidae
Source: RNAcentral
UUAGCUGGAAAAAUAGCUCUCUGCAACUCUCACGGUUGCUCACUGAAGCUAAGCAGGGCAGAGCCCGAUCAGUACCUGGAUGGGAGACCACAUGCGAAAGCUAGGUUGCCGUCGGAA